CCUACGGGUGACAGCAGUGAGGAAUAUUGGACAAUGGACGCAACUCUGAACCAGCCAUGCCGCGUGCAGGAAGACGGCUCUAUGAGUUUAAAACUGCAUUUGUACGAGGGUAAACGCAGAUACGCGUAUCUGUCUGAGAGCAUCCUACGAAUAAGGAUCGGCCAACUCCGUGCCAGAAGCCGCGGUAGUACGGCGGAUUCAAGCGUUAUCCGGAUUUAUUGGGUUUAAAGGGUGCGUAGACGGUCGGGUAAGUUAGAGGUGAAAUCCCGAGGUUCAACUUCGGAAUUGCCUCUGAUACGGUUCGGCUAGAGAGUAGUAGCGGUAGGCGGAAUGUAUGGUGUAGCGGUGAAAUGCUUAGAGAUCAGACAGAACACCGAUUGCGAAGGCAGCUUACCAAGCUACUUCUGACGUUGAGGCACGAAAGCGUGGGGAGCAAACAGGAUUAGAUACCCGAGUAGUC
This 460-nucleotide ribosomal RNA is filed under the name uncultured bacterium. RNAcentral's name for it is "partial 16S ribosomal RNA". It matches the Rfam family "Bacterial small subunit ribosomal RNA", at positions 338 to 795 of the family's 1533-position model. The record is from RNAcentral.